AUGAUCACCAGAGUUCAUCAAAGAGUAAAUUCUAAUGGUAGCGGUGCACGAAAUGGUCAAACUUCAAAUGAACCUCAUAGUGACACCCAUGCUAAUCUGCAACCGAAUCCUCAGCCACCUCAAGCACGUGAAGCAGGUAAUCUGGGACAUCCUGUCGAGGUCAAUGUGGGGAACAGUUCUCAGGCUUCCCAUGGUCAGCAGAAUGGCCAGGGUCCUUUUUCUCAGUUGGUGGACAGUCUCCAGUGGAUUGGAUCACUGUUUUCUGGAGAAAAUCCCCCAGCAAACGUUUCAAGUCAGCAUGCACCAGCGGCUUCUGCUGAGCCGGUAGAUGCUAGAACAGUGGCCAGCGACGAGGGGAUACGCUUUGCUAACUUGGUCAGGCAAAUUAUGCCACAUAUCUCCCAGGUUGAAAACCAGUCUCAAAGCACCCCAGCAGACACCAGCAGUACUCCUUCACAGGCUGCCGUGCCUGAGAGCGCAAACGGUUCAAGGGAUGGGCCAAGUGAUUCCAGGAAUUCACGUCAACAUAGCCGUGACCCAGUUGAAGGCCCUAAUUCUAAAAGGCAAAGGAGAAUGAGUGAGUGA
RNAcentral lists this ribosomal RNA (585 nucleotides) under Triticum aestivum (bread wheat). RNAcentral's name for it is "partial small subunit ribosomal RNA". Lineage: Eukaryota; Viridiplantae; Streptophyta; Magnoliopsida; Poales; Poaceae. The record is from RNAcentral.